This 511-nucleotide ribosomal RNA is filed under the name Baratha peena. RNAcentral describes it as "partial 16S ribosomal RNA". It matches the Rfam family "Archaeal large subunit ribosomal RNA", at positions 1917 to 2660 of the family's 2987-position model. The record is from RNAcentral. Lineage: Eukaryota; Metazoa; Arthropoda; Malacostraca; Decapoda; Gecarcinucidae.
UYUAUUUGCUAAUAUAAAAAGUCUAACCUGCCCACUGAUAGUUAUAAAUUUAAGGGCCGCGGUAUUAUGACUGUGCAAAGGUAGCAUAAUCAUUAGGUUUUUAAAUGGAAUCUUGUAUGAAUGGUUGGACAAGAGAGAAACUGUCUUUGUAUUAGAUUUGAAUUUAACUUUUAAGUGAGAAGGCUUAAAUAACCUAGGGGGACGAUAAGACCCUAUAAAAUUUUACAUUAUAAUUAUAUUUUAUAGAAUUUAAAUAAUAAUAAGUUAUUUAAUUAUUUUGUUUUGUUGGGGCGACAAGAGUAAAAAUUAUACUAACUGCUUUGUAUGAAACCAAUUAUAAGUGAGUAUCAAAACAAUGAUCCUAAUUAUUGAUUUUAAGAUUAAGUUACUUUAGGGAUAACAGUGUUAUUUUUUUUGAGAGUUCAUAUCGAAAAAAAAGUUUGCAACCUCGAUGUUGAAUUAAAAUAUCUAUAUAAUGUAGCUGUUAUAUAAGAAGGUCUGUUCGACCUUU